Molecule: ribosomal RNA, 446 nt
Filed under: uncultured bacterium
Lineage: Bacteria
Description: bacterial SSU rRNA
Rfam family: Bacterial small subunit ribosomal RNA
Source: RNAcentral
GUCCAGACUCCUACGGGAGGCAGCAGUGGGGGAUAUUGCACAAUGGGGGGAACCCUGAUGCAGCGACGCCGCGUGGGUGAAGAAGCGCCUCGGCGCGUAAAGCCCUGUCAGCAGGGAAGAAAAUGACGGUACCUGAAGAAGAAGCCCCGGCUAACUACGUGCCAGCAGCCGCGGUAAUACGGAGGAUGCGAGCGUUAUCCGGAUUUAUUGGGUUUAAAGGGUGCGUAGGCGGAAUAUCAAGUCAGCGGUAAAAAUUCGGGGCUCAACCCCGUCGUGCCGUUGAAACUGAUGUUCUUGAGUGGGCGAGAAGUAUGCGGAAUGCGUGGUGUAGCGGUGAAAUGCAUAGAUAUCACGCAGAACUCCGAUUGCGAAGGCAGCAUACCGGCGCCCAACUGACGCUGAAGCACGAAAGCGUGGGUAUCGAACAGGAUUAGAUACCCCGGUAA